This 476-nucleotide ribosomal RNA is filed under the name uncultured Nitrososphaerota archaeon. RNAcentral's name for it is "bacterial SSU rRNA". It matches the Rfam family "Archaeal small subunit ribosomal RNA", at positions 340 to 808 of the family's 1478-position model. The record is from RNAcentral. Lineage: Archaea; Thermoproteati; Nitrososphaerota.
CGAGAAAACUUUAGCAAUGUGCGAAAGCACGACAAGGUUAAUCCGAGUGGUUUCUGCUAAAGGAACCUUUUGCCAGUCCUAGAAACACUGGUGAAUAAGGGGUGGGCAAGUUCUGGUGUCAGCCGCCGCGGUAAAACCAGCACCUCAAGUGGUCAGGAUGAUUAUUGGGCCUAAAGCAUCCGUAGCCUGCUUUGUUAGUUUUCGGUUAAAUCCAUUUGCUCAACGAAUGGGCUGCCGGGAAUACUGCAAAAGCUUAGGGGAGUGGGAGAGGUAGACGGUACUCGGUAGGAAGGGGUAAAGUACCUUUGAUCUAUUGAUGACCACCUGUGGCGAACGGCGGGUCUACCGAGAACACGUCCGACGGUGAGGGAUGAAAGCUGGGGGAGCAAACCGGACUAGAUACCCGGGUAGUCCCGAGCUGUAAACUAUGCAAACUCGGUGAUGCAUUGGCUUGAUGCCAAUGCAGUGCCGCAGGG